GGGGAAUAUUGCACAAUGGAGGAAACUCUGAUGCAGCGACGCCGCGUGAGUGAAGAUGGUCUUCGGAACGUAAAACUCUGUCCAUGGUGCCGAAAAAAAUGACAGUAGCCAAGGAGGAAUCCUCGGCCAACUACGUGCCAGCAGCCGCGGUAAUACGUAGGGGGCGAGCGUUUUCCGGAUUUACUGGGCGUAAAGGGUGAGUAGGCGGUAAUAUGUGUCAGAUGUAAAAGGCUAUGGCUUAACCAUAGUUGGCGUUUGAAACUGUAUUACUUGAGUGCAGGAGAGGUAAGUGGAAUUCCUAGUGUAGCGGUGAAAUGCGUAGAUAUUAGGAGGAACACCAGUGGCGAAGGCGACUCACUGGACUGUAACUGACGCUGAGUCACGAAAGCGUGGGUAGCAAACA
Molecule: ribosomal RNA, 403 nt
Filed under: uncultured Sedimentibacter sp.
Lineage: Bacteria; Bacillati; Bacillota; Tissierellia
Description: bacterial SSU rRNA
Rfam family: Bacterial small subunit ribosomal RNA
Source: RNAcentral